Molecule: ribosomal RNA, 374 nt
Filed under: uncultured organism
Description: partial 16S ribosomal RNA
Rfam family: Bacterial small subunit ribosomal RNA
Source: RNAcentral
GUAGGUGGCAAGCGUUGUCCGGAAUUAUUGGGCGUAAAGCGCGCGCAGGCGGUCCUUUAAGUCUGAUGUGAAAGCCCACGGCUCAACCGUGGAGGGUCAUUGGAAACUGGGGGACUUGAGUACAGAAGAGGAAAGCGGAAUUCCAAGUGUAGCGGUGAAAUGCGUAGAGAUUUGGAGGAACACCAGUGGCGAAGGCGGCUUUCUGGUCUGUAACUGACGCUGAGGCGCGAAAGCGUGGGGAGCAAACAGGGAUUAGAUACCCUGGUAGUCCACGCUGUAAACGAUGAGUGCUAAGUGUUAGGGGGGUUUCCGCCCCCUUAGUGCUGCAGCUAACGCAUUAAGCACUCCGCCUGGGGAGUACGGCCGCAAGGCUG